CGAGCGAGAGCGGAUUGGGGCUUUGAAGAAAAACAAAGACGAAGCUUCGUUCCUCAGCAAAGUGUUCAUUUCUUUUUCGCCAGGUUUCAUUCUCUUUCUUUUUUGAUUGGAUGAUGGAAAAACCAGAAAGCUACGGCUUGAAAGCUUACCUUCUUCUCUUUUGGAGAAAGGGCUUUCUUUAUAGAUGAAGACGUUGAGUAAGGGGGGCGGAGCUUGAAGAGCGAAGCGAGCUGCGCUAGCCUAUUACGUUUUUCAGCAGCAAGCUACGGUCUAACGCUUGCCUCCGGUGGCUAACCGGGCGAAAACUCCAAAACUAGGGUUCCAAACCUUUCUCUAAUAAUCAGGUAAGCUUUCAAGCCCCUUGACUUUCUAUUAGAUUAGUUUAGUCAAGGGCGCUGUGAACUGUAAUUGUGAAAAGGUUGGAAGAUCUGGCCAAAGAAGGUGAUAGCCCUGUAGAUUCGUUCCCAUGGUUCGAUCCUUCCCAGUAAAACGCGGCGUGUUCGAAUUCUGAUCGCUUUUACGCGAGAAAGGGGGACCACCUCUAAGCCUAAGUAUUCCUCAAUGACCGAUAGCGUACAAGUACCGUGAGGGAAAGGUGAAAAGAACCCUAGUUAGGGAGUUCAAUAGAGAACCAGAGAUCCGAUGCGAACAAUCAGUCGAAGGAGCGGAGCUUAGAGCCUUGAUUUUCUAUAUUAGUCAAACGCACUCACUCUAACAGCGUACCUUUUGCACGAUGGGUCAGCGAGGAAAUGGGAAGAGCGGCUUAAGCCAUUAGGUGUAGGCGCUUUCCAGAGGUGGAAUCUUCUAGUUCUUCCUAUUUGACCCGAAACCGACCGAUCUAGCCAUGAGCAGGUUGAAGAGAGCUCUAACAGGCCUUGGAGGACCGAACCCACGUAUGUGGCAAAAUACGGGGAUGACUUGUGGCUAGGGGUGAAAGGCCAACCAAGAUCGGAUAUAGCUGGUUUUCCGCGAAAUCUAUUUCAGUAGAGCGUAUGAUGUCGAUGGCCCGAGGUAGAGCACUCAAUGGGCUAGGGUGGCCCCAUUUCGCCUUACCAACCCCAAGGAAACUCCGAAUACAGGCCUAGAUCGUUUGUACAGACAGACUUUUUGGGUGCUAAGAUCCAAAGUCGAGAGGGAAACAGCCCAGAUCGUACGCUAAGGUCCCUAAGCAAUCACUUAGUGGAAAAGGAAGUGAUCGAGCGAUGACAACCAGGAGGUGGGCUUGGAAGCAGCCAUCCUUUGAAGAAAGCGUAAUAGCUCACUGGUCUAGCUCCAUGGCACCGAAAAUGUAUCAGGGCUCAAGUGAUUCACCGAAGCGACGAGACCUUGAAAGCAGUUUUUUCAAGUGUCAGUAGCGAAACGUUCUGUCAAUCGGGGAAGGUUUUUAGUGACAAGACCUGGAGAUAUUAGAAGUGAGAAUGCUGACAUGAGUAACGAUAAAUCUAACUUGUUUCGACCUGAGAUAAUAAGCUCAUGAGCUUGGUCUUACUUCACUGUCGAGAAACGAAAGAAGACUUCCAUCUCCAAGUUUAACUCAGACGUAGCUCCCUUCUUUUUGGGUGUGAAGCAGUGUCAAACCAAAAUACCCAACAAGCAUUAGCUCUCCCUGAAAAGGAGGUGAUCCAGCCGCACCUUCCAAUACGGCUACCCUUCAUCAAGAAAGCUUGCAUAAGAGAUCCUUCUUAUUGCUCUAUCUAGAAUGAAAAUCUAAAGAUAAAAAUCAAUGUUAGGCUGUGGGGCCACAAGGGCUGGGACCCCUAAGGAGAGGUCAACGAAUGCUCUUCGAAUUGGUCUAUAGCCGAUGAACCGACCAGGACACCCCCCCUUUCUGCCAUAUCUCUCACUGCCUCAUACUAGCUAUCCCUAGCCGAAAAAAGUAUGAAUAAAGUAGUUGAGUGCCUUUCCUUCCCCUAUAUGUGUUUGCCACCACCCGACUUAAUGGUAAGAAAGCCCGCCUCCUAAGAAUGAAGGAAUGGAUUAAUCACCUUUGGGGCUGGUGGAUGGAUCACCUUUCCUUAACAUAGAUGGUGGAUGGGCUUCACUUAACAAAGAAGAGAAUGGGCCAUAUGGGUGCCUACAUUGUUAGUCUAUUUGAUUUAAGGGAAGAGAUAUUUAUUGAAUAGAAAGAAUGAAACCUGUACCAUCUUAUCGCCAACCGUGCUUCCUACCAACUCCGCCUAUCCCAGACAGUCGGUCCUAUUGAUUUAGCCGCACCUGAACCCGCAACAACUACCUCUAGUCCGAAAGCAACUUACUUUUCUGAUGAAUCUUAGCUUGCUUUUUGAAUACGGUCAAAGUGGGACAUCCCUUGUUCUCGCAUUGCCUUCUUUCCUAGGGAAUUCAAUCACAUCGGAUCAGUGAGCUAAAGUCAGUCCCUCAACAGCUAAAGUAACUGCUUGAUCUGUCACCCUCCGUGAUUCAAGCCUGUCACCAAGCCUUAAGUCAAAAGCUCUGGUUUCAAGCCCAGGGCACCAAGUGAAUCAAAGCAAGAGCUUACUCAGAGCUCGAACUCUAUUUAAAUCAAAGUCAAGCGAAGCAAAGCAAGCCAGCCAAAGAGGGAUAGGCAUGAUCAUUCUAUUCUAAAGGUAGAGAUCUUGAACUAAGGACUGAAAGCUAGAAGUUCUCUAUGUGAACAUAGGAUCCUAUAUAAACAACCAGAAAUCCUAGACUAACUGCUCUAGAGGAAACCAACUGGAGAAAGCCAGAGGAUGGAAGUCACUCAGUUAAGAGGAUUAGGGAAUAAACGAAAGAAAGAAAGCUUAACUCGCUCGAACUUCCGAGGGCCAGUGAACUUCCUGGGGUAUUUUAUUCCUUAGUAGCUUUGACAACAUUCGUCUCUGUGUGAGCCCUCAUCUCAUGCUCCUACUACCUCUUAACUUCAAGUGGGAGUGAUGGACGAGUGAAGAUCGCCAACUCUUUCUUCCCCGUGAAUUGAAUAUCAACUGAAAUCGGGCGGACCGGCUUCUCCCUUUGAGCAUAGCAUGCUUUUGGGGAGUAAGUCACUUAAUAUAGUAUAUUAUGCGAGAAUCGAUUCUUACAUCACAUCAAAAUAGCAUGUCUAUAUACGGAUCCUACAAUUCCCUAUGAAUCUCCCUGACAACCCCUUCAAUCCAUCUUCAUCUUGGCUGGCAGCCUAGAUUGAGCCCUGGGACUGAUCUUCCCGUUGGCUUUACUGCCGCAGUACUCAUAGUGAAAGGUCAGCGGGGGGCAUAGCGAAAUUCCUCACCGAGAUGACUGGACAACCUAUCGACCAGAUCGCACCAGCAGAGCGAUUCAAAGCCUCUUUGGAGCGGUCAUUUCUCAGUCUGUCAAUUUCAGGGUAGUAAGCGCCAGCUGCAAGCUUUCGGUUAAUGCCAUCCAAUCUUCGGUACAAAAUUUCCUUCUUCUAUUUCAUAUUUCCAAACACUUCCUUAUUCCAAAAGCUCAAUGCCUCAAAUAUUGCACCUCUAAUGGAUCACAAAACACCACUACCAAGCAGAUGAGAGGAGAGAGAGAGGAGGGAAGUACUUAGAAUAUCGGCUAGGGUUUCUUCUUGGCGAACAUUGGCCGAAAAUCCUAAGCCUAUGGGGUCUUUAUAUAGCUGAGGGCUGCUAGGUUUUCUGAAGGAAACCCUAAUUUCCUAAUUAAGGCUCAAGCAUCCCAUGGACUCCUACUAACAAGCCUUAGACAAAAUCUAUAGGCCCCCCUAUAGAUUUUCGUCCACUCCUAAUUAAGGAGUCCAUUAGCUCAGUUUCCCAAUUAUCAAUGAUUUGCAAAACAGACCCUGUUCUUUUAAUCAGUUCCUUUAAUCCUAACAUUAAUUCCAAAUUAAAUUCUGAUUAAAUACUAAUUAAAUAACAUGAUUUCUAAUUAAUAUAUUAUUUUCAUAAUACAUUAAUAAAUAAAUUUAUUAUUCCAAAUAAUAAAUUCAACCUCUUUCUCUAAAAGUUAUCCUUUCAAGUUGCUAGGCUGAAGGCAUCCCAAAAAGACCAGGCUACUAUCAAAUCAAGUACAUACCAGUUCUAUUAAUGGUCUUAGACACCUAAUGCAAUAGUCUCCCACUUGGAGAUGUUUAAUAACUAUAGUUGCAAGUAUGAUUUCAAAAUUUAACCAACAAUCGUUGCUUUCAAAAGCCGCAGUCUAACUCUGACCUAGUUAGUUAUGUGUCCUAAAGAUAAGAGAUUAUAUAAUCCUCUGUUCCGCAAGAUAACAUGUGAACAAAGACAUGGAAAAAAUCAUUCUCAUUGUCCAACAAUUUGUUUCCUAAUUUCUGAUUUGUAUGAUGAAGAACUUAAUUGAACACAUCAAUUCAAUCCUGACCGGACCCGUGACAUAAGUCAACACAAAAUCAUCGAGGUUCCAAGAUAUCGCUUUUACCCAUUGGGAUAAAAGGAAAAGAUAAAGUUUGACUUAUAUGAUUGUACUAUUUACUUAUCAAAUGGUACACAACAAUACAUUUUAUAACAUCAAGUUGCUGAUGCAUUUACGUAUUAUCAAUGCACAACCAACUCAUAAACAACAACUCAUAUAUUUCAGUUUAAAGACUAUACGAUAUUAUCUUCUCAUAAUUACUCAUGAUAAAUUCCAUGAAGUAAUUUUAUGAGUGUGGGUUUAAUCGAAUACUCAAAUCCCUAUUUCAAGAUUACUUAUGAAUAUUGCAGCAAACUAUUGCGAUGUCUUCUAGGGAGCAAGUGGCCGAUUUUCCUUAGCCAUGGAGUCCUUAUAUAGGGUAGAGACUAGGGUUUCAGUCCUUAUCCUUAUCUGAUUGCUUGCCCACCAAGCAUCCCAUAAGAUAAGUCUAGAACCUUAUCCAUGGACAAUUUCUAGGGCCUUAUCCCCUUGAAUUCGUCCACCCUAUCCAUAGGGCAUCCAUUGCCCUAAUUUGCAACUAUCACAUAAUUACAAUUCAACCACUCUAGUUUAAUUAAUUACAUUUGAUAACAAAAUUAAUUCUUAAUUAAUUAUUGAUCAAUAUUAAUUAAACAAAUAUGAUUUUUCCUUUAAUAUAUUAUUCUUAUAAUAUAUUAAUAAAUCAUAAUAACCUCUUUCUCUAUUAUUUCUCCAGUAAGGUUGCUUUGGUGAAGGCAACCCAAAAGGACCAUGCACAACUGGGUUAAGUACUUACAAAAUAUGGUUACGGGCUGAGACACUAAUCCAACAGUCUCCCACUUGGAUAAUUCUAGUAACCAUAAAUGCAAGCAUAAAUCAAUUAGCAAUGGUAGCUCUCAAAGAUGCUGUCAAACUCUGAUCUUAUCAGCAACCUGUCCUUUAGAUAAGGGAUCGUAUAGUCCUCUGUUUCAGAUAUCGUGCGGACAAUCUCAUGGAACAUAGUCAUACUUAUUGUCCAGCAGUUUGUUUCUCGAUCUCAAAUUCAUUUGACAUAGAACUUAAUUGAACACAUCAAUUCAGUCCUGACUGGGCCCGACACAAAAGUCGAAUGAAAUCAUCGAGGGGCCCUGAUAUCGCGUUUACCCUGUUAGGAUAAAAGGAACAGAUAAAUUUUGACUUAUAUGCAUUCACUAUUCAUUAAUCAAAUUAUACACAACAAUGCAUUUUAUGACAUCAAGUUACUGAUGCGUUUUCGCAUUAUCAAUGCACUAUCAAUUAGCGAACAAUAAACCUGUAACGCCCCGGGUUUUCUCGGUACGUUUGGUUAUUUUAAUUUAAUUAUCCAUGUAACCUUGGGUUAAUUUAUUUAACCAAUGUCUGAUUUCUUAUGUUAUUGGACUCUUUUGAUCAUCUUGUAAACUCCUUUUAUUGAAGUCCAUGGGCUAUGGGCCUAUUUGCAAAGUCCAUCUAGUUAAUAGUACUUAAUGUGUAAAUUGAAUCAUUUGGAACACACACAAGGAAAACACUCUAAACCCUCCCUCUCUCUCAAAAAUCGUCCCUCUCUCUCUCUUUGGGAUCAAGAGCAGCCAAGGGGCUGUUUGGAGCUUAAUUCUUGUUCAUUUCCAGCCUUGAUUCGUAUUGGUAUGAACCUCCUUAUCCUUUCUUACAACUUGAUUCAUAACCUUGUUCUAGUUUUAUGAUUUCAUCUUCACCUCUUCUCCUUCUUAUUUUAUUUGUAAUUGUAUGUUAUACAUCAUCUCAAGAUCCUAUCUUCACCCCAUAUAUGGUGGAUGAUGGAUCUAGGGGAUUACAUGUGGCAAAAGAUCAUGGAAACCCUAAAAGGGAGAAUGAUGAUUUUAUGUGCUUAUGUUUAUUUUCAUGUUGAUUAUUAUUACAUCCUUGUGGCUAAAUGAAAUCCUAAUGAUCCCUAACCCUUUUUAGUACCACCAUUAUCAUGGGGACUGAAUUGGGAUGAUGAACACAUCUUAAAAUGUGUUUCAAAAGGAGAAGGAUGGAUAAGCCAAAAAGGAAUCACGGGUGGCUACGAUUCUGUUUUCCAUCAGAUCUGUAGUCAUUUUGUAAAAAUCAUAUCUGGAGCUCUAGAACUCAAACGGACCCCAAACCAGUUCCAAAAGUUCACAAAUUGAGUUGGCUAACUUUCUUAAGAAGGCCAACCUCACUGAUAAGGGCUUUAUCUAUGUGAAAGAAUGGCAUCUUUGCUGUUAGGUCUGAUCCGGGUCUGUUCUGAUAUGUCAUUUUGUUUUCAUCAUUUCUAAGGCUUGGAAAAGGAUCCAGAGUGAUUCCAAGUUUCUAUAUGUUCCUUAUAUUAUGAAUUUAAGAUCUGGAGAAUAUGGGGUGUUAUUUCCAAUUAUAAAUUGGUUAGAAUGGAUCCACACUCCAGGUCAGUGGGCAGUCACCAGCUUUUGCUAGUGCUGUGAUUGUCCACAAUGUGAAUUUUAUAUCUGGAGUUUGAGAGAUGCUUUUCAUUCAAUUCCAACUCUGAGACUUUCACUUGUAUGUCCUUUACUUCUCUUAAUUUUCUUUUGGACGAAUUCUACUCACAAGUUGGGUAGAAUUGGCCAACAUCACUUGACUGUAUUGUUGGAGACAGAAGUGAUACACCAUUUUGUAAAAUUCAUAUUUAAUUCAUCUUUUGGAGUUAGAAUGAGUUCUUUAUAGUUAUGGAAUCCUGAGCAAUCAUAGUUUCCUAUAAAAUUUAGUUAAAGCUAUGUUUCUGUUUUAGAUUUUGGAGUAAAUCCGUUUUGAACAGCAGGUCUGUUUUAGAGACCUUGCUGUGAUUACUCUUUUCUCAACUCAUAGCUUCAUUACUUCUCGUUUCUAACCUUUAGUCCUUCUUAGGCGAGGUUUUGAAGUUUGCUCAAGCUUGGUAGCAUUAUUUGAUUGUUAGCCAUCCUUAAUACUCACUCAAGGUGAGUUCUCUCACACCGUUGUAUUGAUGAUUGUGUUUGCUAGUUAGCUCGUGUGUGAUUAUUUGAAUUUAUUAUAAAAGCAUGCUAUAUAAGUAUUGUUUUAAUUCGUACAUGUGCACUGUAUGUAACUAAUUAUGGAUAUGGGGACACCACCAAAGGAUACGGAUUUACCGGUGCGGUGGGUAGGUAAGAUCACCAACGUAAUACUCUUCGUGAGGUGCGGUGAUUAGGGCCAAAUGAUACGGGAUCUUCCCGGUGCGGUUCAAACCUACAAGUCCUUCUCGUAAUAUAGACAUUGAUUCGUUCUUUGCCUUUAUCAUUAUAAUUGGAAAAUGGAUUAGGGCUAGUAAAUAUGAAUGUUAGUACAAUGUCUGUGUUUGAAUUCACUAAGCUUCGUGCUUACGUUUUUCCCUUAUAACUUUUCAGGUGUUAAGAUUAAAGAGGCUAAGGCUUGACAUGGAGCAUCGGGACAUCGCUACUAGUUAUUUUGUUGGGACCUUAUUAUUGUUAUUACUUCCGCACUUAUUUUAUAUGAUUAUUAAGUUGAUGGAUUAUUUUAUGACUAUUUCAGUUGUUUUAAUUUAAUUUAAGAUGGGUUUUAAAAGUUUAAAUUUUUUGCAAAAAAAAAAAAUUGGGUGUCACAAAACCAUAUAUCUUGGUUUUAAGACCAUAUGAUAUUAUCGUCUUGCGAUCACCCAUGAUAAAUUCCUUGAAGUGAUUCCAACAAGCGCGGGUUUAUUCCAAUGCUCUAAACUUAUUCAUAAGCACUCAUGAACGUUGUAGCAAACCCUUGUUAUGUCUAAUGCCUUUCAGACAAUCUACAACAAUUCAUUACAGUCUUCAUUCAUACCUAGUUCCAACAUAUGAACGACUGUGGACCGUUUGAAUAAUUCGCUUAUUCUUAAUUAACACAAUUAUUCAAGAAGUCAAAACAUGCAAAGUGAAAUAAUAGUUAAACAAUUAACAUAAGAUAGAAACUUUAAAUAAUACUCCUUUAUUUAAUCAUCAAAUUUCAAUUACAUUUAUCUAUUACACGUAUCUAAACUAUCUAAUCCAAACUAAUAUCGUCCUUCAGCCCAAUGCUCCUAGAGUGCUGCAAGUGCUUAACCCUACUUAGUCCCUUCGUAAGCGGAUCUACUGGGUUAUCCUCUGAUGAUAACCUCUUUACUAUGAGGAGUCCUUCUUCUACCCGAUGUAUAAAUAAAGUGAUAUUUUCUAUCGAUAUGUCGGGAUCUACCAUGAUCCCUCAGUUCCUUGGUCAAGGCAACCGCUCCGUCAUUCUCAAAGAAAUUUUCCAUAGGCUCUUUUAUGGCAGGUACAAAUACAAGGUCUCCAAUGAAGUUCUUCAACCAUAUCACCUCCUUUGACGCUUUGCUCACUGCAAUGUACUCUGAUUCGGACGUUGAGUCGGCUACGGUUUCUUGCUUGGAACUUUUCCAUGUCACUGCUACUCCAUUAAGGGUAAAGACCCAGCCCGACUGCGAACGAUAGUUGUCCUUGUCGGUCUGGAAACUGGCGUCACUAUACCCCCGCACCUUUAAGUUAUCACUCCCUCCGAGGACUAGAAACCAUUCCUUUGUCCUCCGAAGGUACUUAAGAAUAUUCUUGAUUGCGAUCCAAUGUGCUUUUCCAGGGUUCCCUUGAUAUCUACUGACCAUGCUCAAAGCGAAGGCCACAUCAUGGCGUGUACAAGUCAUAGCAUACAUGAUCGAGCCAACUGCGGAAGCGUAAGGUACUCAGCUCAUCU
RNAcentral lists this long non-coding RNA (8985 nucleotides) under Lactuca sativa (garden lettuce). RNAcentral's name for it is "long non-coding RNA (LSAT_LNC007515)". The stretch from base 1 to 1487 matches the Rfam family "Bacterial large subunit ribosomal RNA". The record is from RNAcentral. Lineage: Eukaryota; Viridiplantae; Streptophyta; Magnoliopsida; Asterales; Asteraceae.